Long non-coding RNA from Cyprinus carpio (common carp), 1394 nucleotides. Lineage: Eukaryota; Metazoa; Chordata; Actinopteri; Cypriniformes; Cyprinidae. The record is from Ensembl.
GGCAAAAGUCAGGUUGGGGCAAGUUGUCACAUGUGUUUUAUUUUAAUAUUAGUUCAUCACUUACCAUUUCAGUUUUUUAUAUUAUUUAUAUACAGUAUUUAUUACAUUUAAAAAAAUUAGUCCUUUAUUAUAUUUAAACAAACAUACUAAAUGUUAAAAUGAAAGCAGAGCAACAUUAUAAGACAGAUAUUCAAAUCAAUAAACAGCUGUGACAACUUACCCCGCUCAGAGUGACAACAUGCCCUGCUUUAAGCCUCAGCGUGUGUCCGGUGAUCUCGUCCAGAUCUCCAGGUUUGUUCACUGGAGGGAAAAGUGUGACAACAUCUCUGCCCCGCUCUUCAGACACUGAAGCUGUACUUACAGAAACCUCGUCCGGCAGCAGAUGUCCUCAGGUAAACAUGGUAAACGUCUGCGGUUUUACUCCUCCAGCGUUUAUAAAUCCACUGUGAGCGCAGUGCUCCAUCAGAACACACACACACUCGAGUGAUCUUGAGCUCCUCCAGCGCUGGACUGAGAUCAUGACGAGAAACAAUGGAGAUGAGGAUCCUGAGAGCAGCAGGAGUGAGACGUGAGCGCUGCGUCCUCCUCACUGACCCACACACACACACAGAGAGAGAGAGAGUACGAGCAGAAGUGAGAGAGCCAGACGAGGCGAGAUAACUAGCAGGUUAAUUACCCGUGUUGAGCUGAGUUAUUGUGUGCUGAGAUGAGAAGAGCCGAAUGUGUUUGAGCUUCAUCACGGCUGUCAUCCUCAUCCUCACACUGUGUGAGAGCAGAUAACAGAUUCAUCCUGACACACACACACACACACACACACACACUGAAGAUAACAGCAUCAGCAGAAUCAGGAGAGAAAUCUGCACAGAUCACGCAUCAAAUAUGUGUCUGGAUUUUGAUGUGAGAGACAACAGCAGAUGCACUUUUUCACUGGAGGAAGUGUUAUUAUGGAUUAUGGACUCUUGUUUUAGGUAAAAACGUCUUAAUGCUGGAUUUGUCUCAUCUUUUGUCUUCUCCAGAUGUUCACUGCUGGACUGGAGUGCUGUGGAUCACUGUGAUGUUCUUCUUCUUGAAGACUGUAAAUGCAGUGUGGUUUUGUGGCGUUUGUAAUCCAGGCCAUCCGGUGUCUCAGCGAUCAGGAACUCAAUCCGCUGGACAUCUGCCUGCAGCCGUAUUACAAGAGCAGCUGCUGCUUCAGUCGAACAGAGACACUGCACUCACAGAGAGAGUGUGUGUGAGAGAGAGAGAGUGUGUGUGUGUGUAUGUGUGUGUGUGUGAGAGAGAGUGUGUGUGUAAGAGAGAGAGAGUGAGAGAGAGAGAGUGUGUGUGUGUGUGUUUGUGUGUGUGUGUGUGUGUGUGUGUGUGUGUGUGUGUGUGAGAGAGAGAGAGAGAGUGUG